This 200-nucleotide unclassified non-coding RNA is filed under the name soil metagenome. RNAcentral's name for it is "partial contains internal transcribed spacer 2 and large subunit ribosomal RNA". The record is from RNAcentral.
UUUCAACCCUCAAGCCUGGCUUGGUGUUGGGGCAUUGCCUUCCCUCGGGAGGGCAAGCCUGAAUUCAGUGGCGAGCUCGCCAGGACUCCGAGCGUAGUAGUAAAACCCUCGCCUUGGACUGUUCUGGCGCGGCCCUGCCGUAAAACCCCCAACUCUGAAAAUUUGACCUCGGAUCAGGUAGGAAUACCCGCUGAACUUAA